GGUCUGCAGCCCUCCCGGCUUUCCGCCCCCAGGUCUGCGCCAAGCCUCCGGGCUGCGUGGGCGUGUGGUGGCCUCGGGGCCUCCGCGGCUUUCCCAGCCUUCCGGGCGCCCCAGCUUGGAGGAUGCCCUCAGAAGGUCGCGCCACUUGCAGCGGCCCGAGAGCAUGCCUUCGGGGGCCCGUUAGGGACGCGGCCUGAGCUCCAGGGGCCGUAGGUCACCUACCUACCUGGCGGCCUUCGCUGGAAGCUAUAGGAGGAUGCCCACUUCCGGACCCACCCCUCAGGCGGGACAAACCCUGGACCAGGCUCUCCAGACCCACCCAGCCACUGUGGUCUCUGAGCCCACCCGGAGGCCGAUCUACAGGUCCAGGCCCCAGGAUGAAGAGUUGGCCCACCCUGAGCUGUAAUGGGUGAGCAAGUGAGCAAGAGGUGGGAAGGGGCACUGACUGGGGGCCCUCCCAACAGGACAGAGGCAUUCACUGGACUCUCUGCCUUCUUUGACCUCUGGGCUGUGUCUGGAGCCUGAGUGCAGGGCGGGGGGAGUGGAGAGUGAGAGGCCCAGGGACCAGGGCCUACUCCAAAGUGGGCGCUCAGCAAACUAUGACAAGGAUGAGAGUUACAUUAAGGAUAAUAAUGGACACCUGGCUGGCUCAGUCAGUGGAGCAUGCAACACUUGACCUCGGGAUUGUACCUUUGAGCCCCAUGAUGGGUGUAGAGAUUACUAAAUAAAAUCUUUUGGGCACCUGGGUGGCUCAGUCA
Acinonyx jubatus (cheetah) is the source of this 758-nucleotide long non-coding RNA. RefSeq lists it as uncharacterized. The record is from RefSeq and is a predicted model, not a curated record. Lineage: Eukaryota; Metazoa; Chordata; Mammalia; Carnivora; Felidae. The transcript has 2 exons.